GGGGUUGUAGCUCAGUGGUUGAGCGCUUGCUUUGCUUGCAUGAGGCACUAGGUUCAAUCCUCAGCACCA
This 69-nucleotide transfer RNA is filed under the name Marmota monax (woodchuck). It matches the Rfam family "tRNA". From Rfam's summary of the family: Transfer RNA (tRNA) molecules are approximately 80 nucleotides in length. Their secondary structure includes four short double-helical elements and three loops (D, anti-codon, and T loops). The record is from Rfam by way of RNAcentral. Lineage: Eukaryota; Metazoa; Chordata; Mammalia; Rodentia; Sciuridae.